RNAcentral lists this long non-coding RNA (1910 nucleotides) under Lactuca sativa (garden lettuce). RNAcentral describes it as "long non-coding RNA (LSAT_LNC010158)". Lineage: Eukaryota; Viridiplantae; Streptophyta; Magnoliopsida; Asterales; Asteraceae. The record is from RNAcentral.
GCCUAUAUGUCAUCCAUGGGUGAUACCAUCACACCAUAAGCAACUACCAUGUUGACCAAUGAACCGAAUGUCAUCCAUGGACACCAUAAGCAACUACACCAUGUUGACCAACAUAAGCAACUACACACCAUGUUGACCAAUGACCCAUAUGUCAUCCAUGGACACCAUAAGCAAAUACACCAUGUUAACCAAUGACCCAUAUGUCAUCAAUGGACACCAUAAGAAACUACACAAUGUUGACCAAUGACCCAUAUGUCAUCCAUGGACAUCAUAAGCAACUACACCUUGUUGACCAAUGAACCAUAUGUCAUCCAUGGACACCAUAAGCAACUACCCCGUUGACCCAUAUUUCAUCCAUGGACAACAUAAGCAACUACACACCAUGUUGACCAAUGACCCAUAUGUCAUCCAUGGACACCAUAAGCAAAUACACCAUGUUGACCAAUGACCCAUAUGUCAUCAAUGGACACCAUAAGCAACUACACCAUGUUGACCAAUGACCCAUAUGUCAUCCAUGGACAUCAUAAGCAACUACACCUUGUUGACCAAUGACCCAUAUGUCAACCAUGGACACCAUAAGCAACUACCAUGUUGACGAAUAACGGAAAUAUCAUCCAUGGACAUCAUAAGUAACUACACCAUGUUAGCCAAUGACCCUUAUUUCAUCCAUGGACACCGUAAGCAACUACCAUGUUGACCAAUUACCCAUAUGUCAUCCAUGGACACCAAAAGCAAUUACACCAAGUUUCUUAAUUACCCAUAUGUCAGAGACCAUAAGCAACUACAUGUUGACCAAUGACCUAUAUGUCAUCCAUGGACAACAUAAGCAUCUACACCAUGUUGACCAAUGACCCAUAUGUCAUUCAUGGACACCAUAAGAAACUACACCAUGUUGACCAAUGAACCAUAUGUCAUCCAUGGACACCAUAAGCAACUACACCUUGUUGACCAAUGACCCAUAUGUCAUCCAUGGACACUAUAAGCAACUACCAUGUUGACCAAUAACCCAUAUGUCAUCCAUGUACACCAUAAGUAACUACACCAUGUUAACUAAUGACCCUUAUGUCAUACAUGGACACCAUAAGCAACUACCAUGUUGACUAAUGACCUAUAUGUCAUCCAUGGACACAAAAAGCAACUACACCAUGUUGACUAGUCACCUAUACGUCAUCCAUGGACACCACAACCAACUACCACAUUAACCAAUGACACAUAUCUCAUACGUGGAAACCAUAAGCAACUAUAUGUUGACCAAUUGCCUAUAUGUUAUCCAUCGGUGAUACCAUCACACCAUAAGCAACUACCAUGUUGACCAAUGACCCAUACGUCAUCCAUGGACACAAUAAACAACUACAUGUUGACUAAUGAUCCAUAUGUCAUCCGUUGACACCAUAAGCAACUACUAUGUUGACCAAUGACCCAUAAUUCAUCCAUGGACACCAUAACCAACUACACCAUGUUAACCAAUGACCCAUAUAUCAUCCAUGGACACCAUAAGCAAUACACCAUGUUGACCAAUGACCCAUAUGUCAUCAAUGGACACCAUAAGCAACUACACCAUGUUGACCAAUGACCCAAAUGUCAUCCAUGGACACCAUAAGCAACUACACCUAGUUGACCAACAAAAGCAACUACACACCAUGUUGACCAAUGACCCAUAUGUCAUCCAUGGCCACCAUAAGUAAAUACACCAUGUUGACCAAUGACCCAUAUGUCAUCAAUGGACACUAUAAGCAACUACACCAUGUUGACCAAUGACCCAUAUGUCAUCAACGGACAUCAUAAGCAACUACACCUUGUUGACCAAUUAACCAUAUGUUAUCCAUGGACACCAUAAGCAACUACCAUGUUGACCCAUAUUUCAUCCAUGGACAACAUAAGCAACUACACACCAUGUUGACCAAUGACCC